UGUAGCUUGACAUUGGGUCUUGGUACUACAUGUACAGGAUAGGUGGGAGGCUUUGAAACCAGGACGCCAGUUUUGGCGGAGCCAUCCUUGGGAUACCACCCUUGUAGUACUGGGACUCUAACCAUAGACCAUGAAUCUGGUCUUGGGACACUGUCAGGUGGGCAGUUUGACUGGGGCGGUCGCCUCCCAAAAGGUAACGGAGGCGCUCAAAGGUUCUCUCAGUACGGUCGGAAAGCGUACGUAGAGUGUAAAGGC
This 255-nucleotide ribosomal RNA is filed under the name Clostridioides difficile. Its description in RNAcentral is "partial 23S ribosomal RNA". It matches the Rfam family "Bacterial large subunit ribosomal RNA", at positions 2105 to 2358 of the family's 2925-position model. The record is from RNAcentral. Lineage: Bacteria; Bacillati; Bacillota; Clostridia; Peptostreptococcales; Peptostreptococcaceae.